Molecule: ribosomal RNA, 465 nt
Filed under: uncultured bacterium
Lineage: Bacteria
Description: bacterial SSU rRNA
Rfam family: Bacterial small subunit ribosomal RNA
Source: RNAcentral
UCCCAGACUCCUACGGGAGGCAGCAGUGAGGAAUAUUGGUCAAUGGCCGGAAGGCUGAACCAGCCAAGCCGCGUGAAGGACGAAGGUGCCAAGCAUUGUAAACUUCUUUUGUCAAGGGACAAAAUCAGGCUCGAGAGCCUGACCGAGGGUACUUGAAGAAAAAGCAUCGGCUAACUCCGUGCCAGCAGCCGCGGUAAUACGGAGGAUGCGAGCGUUAUCCGGAUUUAUUGGGUUUAAAGGGUGCGCAGGCGGGCUGUUAAGCCGGCGGUAAAAAUUCAGGGCUCAACCCUGUCGAGCCGUCGGAACUGGCAGUCUUGAGUGGGCGAGAAGUAUGCGGAAUGCGUGGUGUAGCGGUGAAAUGCAUAGAUAUCACGCAGAACGCCGAUUGCGAAGGCAGCAUACCGGCGCCCAACUGGCGCUGAGGCACGAAAGCGUGGGGAUCGAACAGGAUUAGAUACCCCUGUA